UACGGAGGGUGCGAGCGUUGUCCGGAAUCAUUGGGCGUAAAGGGCGCGUAGGUGGCCACUUCAAGCGUGCGGUGAAAGUCGGGGGCUCAACCCCUGAUCGGCCGUGCGAACUGGGGGGCUGGAGCACUGUAGAGGCAGGCGGAAUUCCGGGUGUAGCGGUGGGAUGCGUAGAGAUCCGGAAGAACACCGGUGGCGAAGGCGGCCUGCUGGGCAGUUUUGCUGACACUGAGGCGCGACAGCGUGGGGAGCAAACAGG
Molecule: ribosomal RNA, 256 nt
Filed under: uncultured bacterium
Lineage: Bacteria
Description: partial 16S ribosomal RNA
Rfam family: Bacterial small subunit ribosomal RNA
Source: RNAcentral